UAUGGCGACCGGCGCACGGGUGAGUAACACGUAUCCAACCUGCCGAUGACUCGGGGAUAGCCUUUCGAAAGAAAGAUUAAUACCCGAUGGCAUAGUUCUUCCGCAUGGUAGAACUAUUAAAGAAUUUCGGUCAUCGAUGGGGAUGCGUUCCAUUAGGUUGUUGGCGGGGUAACGGCCCACCAAGCCUUCGAUGGAUAGGGGUUCUGAGAGGAAGGUCCCCCACAUUGGAACUGAGGCACGGUCCAA
RNAcentral lists this ribosomal RNA (246 nucleotides) under uncultured bacterium. Its description in RNAcentral is "partial 16S ribosomal RNA". It matches the Rfam family "Bacterial small subunit ribosomal RNA", at positions 87 to 334 of the family's 1533-position model. The record is from RNAcentral.